AGGGCGGACAGCGCCCGUAGCGUGCGUCGUCCCUCCCCCCGCACCCCCCCGCCCGACCAGGAGAGGGGUUGGGGUGGCGGUUAUCCCCCCUCCCUUUGGGGUUAGGAUGGCGUGGGAAAGCGCUAGUUCCAGAGAAGAGGAGGCGAAGCCCAGACCGCGGGAGAGCUUUCUGGGGAGGGAGGCCCGGGGGAGGGGAGAUCCGGGGCCGGAAUAGGAGGGGUUCCCGAGAGAGGAUGGCGGAGAGGCGUGAGAAGCCUCCGGAUCCCGGGCGCAGAGGACAGGGGAGGAACAGGCGAGGAGGCAGUGCGGGGGAGAGAGCAAGGGCAGCCGGCGCAGGGAAGGAGGAACUGGCGCCACCUCUGUCCUGAUCCCGACACAGGAGGAACUCAGGGGCAGCUCUGUCCUGAUCCCCACACAGGAGGAACUGGCGCCAAGAACGUCAUAGACAGAUGGAAGCUCAAGCCUCUGCUCCACCCCUGAAGGUCUCUGGGAGCUCAGAAUUGGGAAGUGGAUAACCUUGCAAGGUGGAGCUUAUUGAUGUAAGGUCCUCCCCAGGCCAACUCCAGCUGCUUUGUAAAUAGUCAUUAGAUGACAGAAGUACCUCCUUGCAAAUAAAUAGCCUUUAAUAGAUGUCAAAA
This is a long non-coding RNA of Mastomys coucha (southern multimammate mouse), 638 nucleotides long. RefSeq lists it as uncharacterized. The record is from RefSeq and is a predicted model, not a curated record. The transcript has 2 exons. Lineage: Eukaryota; Metazoa; Chordata; Mammalia; Rodentia; Muridae.